Long non-coding RNA from Hipposideros armiger (great roundleaf bat), 3440 nucleotides. RefSeq lists it as uncharacterized. The record is from RefSeq and is a predicted model, not a curated record. Lineage: Eukaryota; Metazoa; Chordata; Mammalia; Chiroptera; Hipposideridae. The transcript has 4 exons.
CUCUAGAUAAUUCUCCAGAUAAUAGCUAUAGGCAUUUUUUUUUCUUAAAUGCUGAAACUGGUUCUCUAUAACCAGUUUUUUUUUGUUGUUUUUUUAAUGUGUAUUUUCUAUAACCAGAAACUACCACAUCUCAGAACAAAGCAGCCCAGUAUAAAUGUGUUGGAUCUGAACUGUAUGCAGAUGGCUUAAGUAGAACAUAUUAAAAUGUAUUUUUCUAAACCGAUUACAUGGAAAGACUUGUUACACAUUCAUGGCUGCCACAGAGAUGAGUCAUUUGUUCAUCUUUCCAGCUAACAUUGACUUAGCACCCCCAGGCUCUGGAAAACACAACCCCGCUCGGGAGAUGGGUGUGGAGUUUGCUGCUGUACCAUGAAGAAAUCCUGUGCUUGGAGCCCAGCAGAAGGUCACCUGUCUGGUCCAGGAAAGGCAUGUCAUCAGGUUGAGGUCUCCAGUAUGAACUGGGGUGCCCCCGGAGGGGGUUGGGGAACAGGAAAUGAGCUUUUACAAUGCAGAACACUCAUGAAACAGACAAGUUGUCAUGCAGCUCACAGCCCUGGGGGCUGGGGACAGGUACAUAGACAAUUUCAUUAUCAAAAGAUGAAUGUUUUGACAGUGGAGGUUCAGAGUAUGGGACGGAUCCUGAAAUGUGACAGGAGGAAGUCACGGCCAUAUGCAGACCAAAGCUCAAAUGAUAAGUUAUAGAGACCAUGGGAGGCUUGCAAUGGACCUGGCAAAGACAAGAUGUAAACACCUAUAGUGCUGAUUCUCGGGAGGAAGGGGUAUCACCAUUUAGUUCAGCAUCUCCAGUGGCUUAGAAGCUGGAUGACCUUUGGCCUCAAUCUCUUUAUUUGUGAAAUAGGAAUGAUGAUAUCCUUUGGUAAACUCUGCGCAAAAGUCUAAGUGCAACUACUUCCCCCAACCCAAUCCUAACAAUUCCAACGUGUUGGUCUCUCUUCACAUCUCCUCAACUUCCUUCUCAGAAUGUGUCCUAAUUCUUAGUUCAGAAAAUAUGGCUUUCCUCAAGAAAAGUGCUGUUUUAAUUCAGAGAUUCCUCAGACAGUACUCCCGGCUGGGAAGACAGUGCAGUUCGCUCAUGCCAGGUUCACUGGAAUCACUUUUUUUCUCCUGAGUUUCUCUCCCCUCUUGCUUAAUGCUGUCAGGACCUGUGGAUUUAGCAAGUCCCCAGACCUGUGCAAUGCACAAAAGGAGGUGAAGGAAACAAGAAUGGAAGAGGAGGAAGGAGGAAAGAAAAGAAGGAAGAAAAGGAGGGACAGAGACAGGCAGGCACAAGUUCAGCCCCUUGAAAAGGCAAUUACUAAUUUUGGAAGACGCUUAGCAGAGGGGAGCAGGAGCACCCCGGCACUUACUACAGGCCUGCUCUGCGUGAACCUCUCUGCUUGAUGAGCGAGCCGAGCCUCUGAGAAGCAACGUGACUCUCCUGAGCAUCCCUGGGUGGCAGAGAUGGCACCUGGACCAGGCCUGCGUGGCGACAGGAUCCCGUGGGCUCCGGCCUUCCCCUCGGCCCGGCACGCCCUGCCUCUGUGGAGCUCCUCACGCACUGCUUCACGUCUUAGCAGUUACCUCUUCAGCGGGGCUUCCCCUGACGACUGCACCAGGAGGGAUGAAACGGAGUUCGUUCAUGAUGCAUGGAGCACACAGUCUGCGUCUCGAUGCUUUUUACCUAUAACAGGCUGUUGGUAAGUGCGGCUCACUGUUCUAAUCGCUUUUCAUGUAACAGCUCAUUUAAUUCUCACAACAGCCUGAUGUGGCAGGGACAAUUUUCCUCCGCUUUGUGGAUGAGAAACCUGAGCCACUAAACGACUAAGGAAUUCGCCCAAGGACACAGGGUUUAACGCGGGCAGAGCUGGGGUCUGAAUUCCAUGCAUGCCAUCUCCAGAGCCUGCGCCCUCAGCCGCUGUGUCUCCAGCUCCCACGGAGGAGCAAAGGCUUAGGGAACCUGUGGCACUUCAUCCGAUGGUUGCAGCCAGGCAGUGAGGCCACCGCGGUUCCUCCCGCCAUACGGAUUAGAAAGCCCAGUUCACGGUGGCACAUUAGCUUGUGCUAGGUCACUUACUAGUGAGUGGGAAAGGCCUGGUGCGAAAUUCUGAGUAAGUGACUCCAGAGUCAACACCAUGGUGGACUGGACUCCCAACCAGGAGCCGUGCGUACACAUAACCUAAAUGGGGAUACCGGCUACCCCACGCAGACAUGAGAAUUAAUCAGAGUGGAAACCCAGUAGGUCCGCUCCACACAUUUAAGGUGAAAUCUUUUAUGUACUCUGGCACAUCGCGAAGUGGGUUGGUCAUUCUCCUGCUGCCCACUGGACCCACUCCCCGCCCCUUUCAAUGCUGCUCUAUCCUGGGAGGUUGACCUCUUGGAAACGCUUCAGGUGGGCUUCCCUGGCCUCUGGCUCCUGUGUGGACUCAGCCCUGGGCAGCCUCUUUGGACUCCACAUGGGGUAGGACCAUGAGACAUAUAUUUGGGGAGUCAUUGACAGCUGGGUUUCCUAUUCUAUAGCCCCAAAUCUGUUCUUCUGACACUGUACAGCCCCAUGCUAGAGCCACUAGCCCCAUGUGGCCAGUGGGCACUUGAAUUGGGGCUAGGAGUAGUGAAGAACCAUUUUUAAUGUGAUUUAAUUUUAAUUAAUUGAUUUAAAUCUAAAAAAAUGGAAGCAGUGUAAGCUAUUUUCCCAUUAAACACAACUUUGUUGUCUUAUAGUUUGUUUAGACCCACAUUUUACUUGAACCGUUGAAGUUUUUGCAUCUGGAUUGAGAUGUGCUGUGGGUGCAAAAUACACAUAUUAAAAAAAAGUAAACUAUCUUAUUAAUAUUUUUAAAUUAUUGAUGACAUGUCAAAAUAUUGUUCUGGAUAUACAGGGUUAAAUAAACGAUCUUACUAAAAAGAACUUCACCCGUCUCUUUUCACCUCGUUAAUGUGGCUGUAAGAAAAUUUAAAACUACACACAUGGCUCACACAUGCCUGUGGUCUGUGGACGCCCCACCGAGUCUGUGGGUUCUGUGCUUUGUUUGCACUUUACAUCCAUUUAUCUCAUGGAACUCUUAAAGGAUCCAUUUGUAGGAGUAAUGUUGCCUUCAUUCUACAGAUGGGGAGAGAGAGGCCGGAAUAGGGUGCUUUGCACAAAGCACCCAGCUGAUCAGGGGAAGGCCCAUGUCUAUCGGGCACCUCAACUGGUGCUUCAGCCAUCACACGCUCCAGGGUAACAACGCAUAGAACUGUGCACAGAUCACGAUGGUUUGUGUGUGCAAGUUGCCGUAGCAUUGCAGACCUGUUACCAGCCGAGUGUGGUUCGGACGACUGGGAGAUAAUUGAUUUGAAGGAUAAGAUUUGACAGAGGAAGCUGGCACUUCCCCAUGUACCAGCUGCCAUCUGUGGCUGGAUCCCAUCCAUCAAGGUUGCUUGACAAUUAAGAUCGAGAACUA